RNAcentral lists this ribosomal RNA (722 nucleotides) under uncultured bacterium. RNAcentral's name for it is "bacterial SSU rRNA". It matches the Rfam family "Bacterial small subunit ribosomal RNA", at positions 9 to 748 of the family's 1533-position model. The record is from RNAcentral.
GAGUUUGAUCCUGGCUCAGGACGAACGCUGGCGGCGUGCCUAACACAUGCAAGUCGAGCGAGUGGAGUUCUUCGGAACAAAGCUAGCGGCGGACGGGUGAGUAACACGUGGGCAACCUGCCUCAUAGAGGGGAAUAGCCUCCCGAAAGGGAGAUUAAUACCGCAUAAGAUUGUAGCUUCGCAUGAAGUAGCAAUUAAAGGAGUAAUCCGCUAUGAGAUGGGCCCGCGGCGCAUUAGCUAGUUGGUGAGGUAACGGCUCACCAAGGCGACGAUGCGUAGCCGACCUGAGAGGGUGAUCGGCCACAUUGGGACUGAGACACGGCCCAGACUCCUACGGGAGGCAGCAGUGGGGAAUAUUGCACAAUGGGGGAAACCCUGAUGCAGCAACGCCGCGUGAGUGAUGACGGCCUUCGGGUUGUAAAGCUCUGUCUUCAGGGACGAUAAUGACGGUACCUGAGGAGGAAGCCACGGCUAACUACGUGCCAGCAGCCGCGGUAAUACGUAGGUGGCGAGCGUUGUCCGGAUUUACUGGGCGUAAAGGGAGCGUAGGCGGACUUUUAAGUGAGAUGUGAAAUACCCGGGCUCAACUUGGGUGCUGCAUUUCAAACUGGAAGUCUAGAGUGCAGGAGAGGAGAAUGGAAUUCCUGGUGUAGCAGUGAAAUGCGUAGAGAUCAGGAGGAACAUCCGUGGCGAAGGCGACUGCCUGGGCCAACACUGACACUG